Non-coding RNA from Pelobates cultripes (western spadefoot toad), 628 nucleotides. The record is from the annotation of a GenBank genome assembly. Lineage: Eukaryota; Metazoa; Chordata; Amphibia; Anura; Pelobatidae.
AUGCAACACAGCACAAACACCAUUUUUGCAAAAUAUUGCAUAAAAAUACAUUUAUAAAUUAAAUAGAAAAAUAUGAUAAUUACCUGUAUUUGUACGAAACCUAAUGGCAUUUUGUGGAAUGCAGAUUCCCAAAAACACCAAAGAUUCAUUCUGUAUUCAUCCUGUUAUAAGGUAUAAAACGUGCAUUUUAUAAGCUUAAAAAAAUGUCAGACUGCUGGUGAACCUUGCCAAUAAGGCCAGAAGUAAGCCAGGAGCCCUCCCUUAUCCUGUUUGUUGCAAACCUCUUAAGUCUUUAAUAAGCAUACAUAGAAGUCAUAGGGACUAAUGUGGAUAAAGUUAUACAAGGAUACAAAAUAUGGAAAAAAUAAUUAUACCCUACAGAAAUCUGGAGAUUCAGCUUCCUAUCUUCAUAAUGUUUCUAGAACACUUAUAUAGUGUUAGACGAUGAUAGAAACAGACAGACAGACAGAUAGAUAUAUAGAUAGAUAGACAGAGAUACAGACAGUCAGAUAGAUAGAUUAAUAGAUAGAUAGAUAGAUAGAUAGACAGACAGACAGACACACAGAUAGACAGAUAGACAGAUAGACAGAUAGAUAGAUAGACAGACAGAUAGACAGAUAGACAGAUA